CAACUUUCAACAACGGAUCUCUUGGUUCUGGCAUCGAUGAAGAACGCAGCGAAAUGCGAUACGUAGUGUGAAUUGCAGAAUUCAGUGAAUCAUCGAAUCUUUGAACGCACAUUGCGCCCUUUGGUAUUCCAAAGGGCAUGCCUGUUCGAGCGUCAUUUGUACCCUC
This 166-nucleotide ribosomal RNA is filed under the name Curvularia ellisii. RNAcentral's name for it is "5.8S ribosomal RNA". It matches the Rfam family "5.8S ribosomal RNA". Rfam says of the family: 5.8S ribosomal RNA (5.8S rRNA) is a component of the large subunit of the eukaryotic ribosome. It is transcribed by RNA polymerase I as part of the 45S precursor that also contains 18S and 28S rRNA. The record is from RNAcentral. Lineage: Eukaryota; Fungi; Ascomycota; Dothideomycetes; Pleosporales; Pleosporaceae. RNAcentral also lists the same sequence under 2 other names.